RNAcentral lists this ribosomal RNA (443 nucleotides) under Diolcogaster sp. 1 SY-2020. RNAcentral's name for it is "partial large subunit ribosomal RNA". Lineage: Eukaryota; Metazoa; Arthropoda; Insecta; Hymenoptera; Braconidae. The record is from RNAcentral.
UCACCUGUUUAUCAAAAACAUGUCUUAUUGAUAAUAAUUUUAAGUCUAAUCUGCUCAAUGAAUUUUAUUUAAAUAGCUGCAGUAUAAAUAACUGUACAAAGGUAGCAUAAUAAUUAGUUUUUUAAUUGAAAACUAGAAUGAAAGAUUUAAUGAAAUAUAAACUGUCUCAAAAUUAGUAAAUAAAUUUUUUUUUUAAAUAAAAAAAUUUAAAUAUAUUUAAAAGACGAUAAGACCCUAAAGAAUUUUUAUAUUUUUUAUAUUUUUAUUAAUAUAUUAAAUAUUUUAAUUGGGGAAAUUUUAAAAUUUAAUUAAUUUUUAAUUAAAUAAUUAACAUUUAUUUAUGAAUAAAAAAUACUUUUUUAAAAAAAUAAAAUAAAUUACCUUAGGGAUAACAGCAUAAUUUUUUUUAAAAGAUCAAAUUUAUAAAAAAGUUUAUGACCUCG